AGCUUUUCUGCCUGUUUGUAAUCCUUCAAUUUUAAUUUACAUGCAGCAUUAUUUAGGUUAGAAGCAACCUUUAAUGCCUUGGCCUGCUUUUUUUCCUCCUCACCAAAAGAAGAAUCAUAUUCUAUGUAUUUGACUGCCUUCUCAUAUCUCUUAGACGCUUUAGCAUAUUUUCCAGCUUUGAACAAAACAUUGCCUUCUUCCUUCUUCUUACCAGCAGCUUCAAUUUUUUCUUGGG
This 235-nucleotide unclassified non-coding RNA is filed under the name Hevea brasiliensis (rubber tree). Lineage: Eukaryota; Viridiplantae; Streptophyta; Magnoliopsida; Malpighiales; Euphorbiaceae. The record is from RNAcentral.